This 491-nucleotide ribosomal RNA is filed under the name uncultured Modestobacter sp. RNAcentral's name for it is "bacterial SSU rRNA". It matches the Rfam family "Bacterial small subunit ribosomal RNA", at positions 1 to 507 of the family's 1533-position model. Lineage: Bacteria; Bacillati; Actinomycetota; Actinomycetes; Geodermatophilales; Geodermatophilaceae. The record is from RNAcentral.
AGAGUUCGUAUCCGUGGCGUCAGGACGAACGGCUGGCGGCGUGCUUAACACAUGCAAGUCGAGCGAGGCCCAGUCCUUCGGGGUGGUGCCCUAGCGGCGAACGGGUGAGUAACACGUGGGCAACCUGCCCUCAGCUCUGGGAUAACUCCAGAAAUUGGUGCUAAUACCGGAUGUGACCGCUGACCGCAUGGUCUGGUGGUGGAAAGAUUUAUCGGCUGAGGAUGGGCCCGCGGCCUAUCAGCUUGUUGGUGGGGUAGUGGCCCACCAAGGCGACGACGGGUAGCCGGCCUGAGAGGGUGACCGGCCACACUGGGACUGAGACACGGCCCAGACUCCUACGGGAGGCAGCAGUGGGGAAUAUUGCGCAAUGGGCGAAAGCCUGACGCAGCGACGCCGCGUGAGGGAUGACGGCCUUCGGGUUGUAAACCUCUUCCAGUAGGGACGAAGCGCAAGUGACGGUACCUACAGAAGAAGCACCGGCCAACUACGUG